This 457-nucleotide long non-coding RNA is filed under the name Gallus gallus (chicken). The record is from RNAcentral. Lineage: Eukaryota; Metazoa; Chordata; Aves; Galliformes; Phasianidae.
GCAUUGUUGGUACGUUCUGGGGAGUAGCCUGGGUCAGGUCUGGUCAUUUUUCCUAACGUGGCACCAGAAUAGUUCAUUCCUAUCUUGUGAUAUUUUCUUAAUAUCGUUAACAUUUCCCUCUUCUAAUCUCUCCAAGCUGGUCAGUUUUAAGGAUCAUCUUCUCCUGUAGACACCGUGAGACGCAUUGCUACUGGUAGGUGAUCGGUCAAGCCUGCUAGCUGGGUAAUAAAGCUGAACUCUUCCACUUCCACUUUCCAUUCCAGGUAGAGACCUUCUUCUGUAUAAAGCAUGUAAUCAAUCCUCCUGCCGUUUCCUUUCAAUGAUGCCUUCCUCCCCUUCUGACUGGAACUGUGGUUCUUGCUGGUGGGAUAGACUAAGUAUCCUUUCCUUCCUUCUUCACUUUCCAGCACCUUCUGUAGGUUGUCUGGAGUGAACACUUCUUCAUCAUAUAAUCCUU